Molecule: long non-coding RNA, 443 nt
Filed under: Rhinopithecus roxellana (golden snub-nosed monkey)
Lineage: Eukaryota; Metazoa; Chordata; Mammalia; Primates; Cercopithecidae
Description: lncRNA (ENSRROG00000046058.1)
Source: RNAcentral
CUUCUACGCCUGACUUAAAGGGCAACAAUCCUAGGAGACCACCAGCACUUACAUCCCUGGUGGGACAUGACACCUGCUUAUGGCCCAGAAGUGACAAAAGAGAAUUAUCAGGAUGGCAGUCCUUAUAACCAGAUGCUUAUGAACAUUCUUCACUACAUUCUGAAGAUGAAUUUCUACAAGGGAAAUUGUUUAUGGAGGCAGCAGAUUGCUGAAAUUCUGAAGCAAUGUGGCUGGUUAAUGCACGAUCUGAAAACCCCUGCACUGGUGAUUUUGGGACAGAUCUAGAAUAUACCAAUAAAUAUAUUAACAUACCAAGUAGUCCAGGAGCAGCCACUGGGCAAACACCAAACCUUGCAUCCCCGGUGCUGUCUCUGAGCUCAACAGACACGUCUUUGCAGAAGAGUUCUAUAAUGGUGGUACAAUGGCGCCCCCCUCAUGACAGA